RNAcentral lists this ribosomal RNA (440 nucleotides) under uncultured bacterium. RNAcentral describes it as "partial 16S ribosomal RNA". It matches the Rfam family "Bacterial small subunit ribosomal RNA", at positions 338 to 795 of the family's 1533-position model. The record is from RNAcentral.
CCUACGUGAGGCAGCAGUGGGGAAUAUUGCACAAUGGGGGACACCCUGCUGCCGCGACGCCGCGUGAGUGCAGAAGUAUUUCGGUACGUACAGCUCUAUCAGCAGGGAAGAAAAUGACGGUACCUGACUAAGAAGCCCCGGCUAAAUACGUGCCAGCAGCCGCGGUAAUACGUAGGGGGCAAGCGUUAUCCGGAUUUACUGGGUGUAAAGGGAGCGUAGACGGCAGCGCAAGUCUGGAGUGAAAUCACAUGGCUGAAACAUGGAACUGCUUUGGAAACUGUGCAGCUAGAGUGCAGGAGAGGUAAGCGGAAUUCCUAGUGUAGCGGUGAAAUGCGUAGAUAUUAGGAGGAACACCAGUGGCGAAGGCGGCUUACUGGACUGUAACUGACGUUGAGGCUCGAAAGCGUGGGGAGCAAACAGGAUUAGAUACCCAUGUAGUC